RNAcentral lists this ribosomal RNA (450 nucleotides) under uncultured bacterium. Its description in RNAcentral is "partial 16S ribosomal RNA". It matches the Rfam family "Bacterial small subunit ribosomal RNA", at positions 354 to 796 of the family's 1533-position model. The record is from RNAcentral.
GUGGGGAAUUUUGGACAAUGGGCGAAAGCCUGAUCCAGCAAUGCCGCGUGCAGGAUGAAGGCCCUCGGGUUGUAAACUGCUUUUGUACGGAACGAAAAGCCUGGGGCUAAUAUCCCCGGGUCAUGACGGUACCGUAAGAAUAAGCACCGGCUAACUACGUGCCAGCAGCCGCGGUAAUACGUAGGGUGCAAGCGUUAAUCGGAAUUACUGGGCGUAAAGCGUGCGCAGGCGGUUUUGUAAGACAGUGGUGAAAUCCCCGGGCUCAACCUGGGAACUGCCAUUGUGACUGCAAAGCUAGAGUGCGGCAGAGGGGGAUGGAAUUCCGCGUGUAGCAGUGAAAUGCGUAGAUAUGCGGAGGAACACCGAUGGCGAAGGCAAUCCCCUGGGCCUGCACUGACGCUCAUGCACGAAAGCGUGGGGAGCAAACAGGAUUAGAUACCCGAGUAGUCC